UAAGGGGAACGGGUUGCUUCUUCAUUCUUCUUUCUGGGUUUUACUUAAAAGAAUUACUAAUUUCCCUUCUCUCUCUGACGUUUGUUCCCUAAUCUAUCGACUGCCUCCCAGCACAUCCCUGCUGCUGCGCUUGUCAAUGAAAUUCAAUAGCAUCAAAGCCUUCUGAGCUCUACUUCCAGAUGAGCUGCAUGGAAGAAAUACCUCUGGAGCCAGCUAGUGCUGCUUCACCUUUGGGAACAACCAUCUGUUUCUGUUGUCUUGAUUUCUGAGAGUGUGAAAUCUCAUUAUGGAAUCAUCUGAGGCUUUAGGAGCUGAGACAAAGCUAAGGGACCUUCAGAGACCUGAAGCACAGAAGCAUAUUGUCACAGAAAAAGAAAACAAUGUGGGGCUUCCGCAACAGCCCAACACCUGAGGCUCAGGUGCGGGACAGGCAGAAGUACAGAAACUCACUGCAUGGAGCCACCCAUCUUUGCCAAGAGAAAGGCCACAGGCGCAACAGCUGUUUUCCCACAAACUCACUGGAUCAUCCUUAACUCCUUUGAAAUACU
Molecule: long non-coding RNA, 548 nt
Organism: Cuculus canorus (common cuckoo)
Lineage: Eukaryota; Metazoa; Chordata; Aves; Cuculiformes; Cuculidae
Exons: 3
Source: RefSeq, a predicted model, not a curated record